Molecule: ribosomal RNA, 440 nt
Filed under: uncultured bacterium
Lineage: Bacteria
Description: partial 16S ribosomal RNA
Rfam family: Bacterial small subunit ribosomal RNA
Source: RNAcentral
CCUACGGGAGGCAGCAGUGGGGAAUAUUGCUCAAUGGGCGCAACCCUGAAGCAGCAACGCCGCGUGAGUGAAGACGGUUCUCGGAUUGUAAAACUCCGUCUUCUGUGAAGCUAAUGCCGGUACCAGAGCCCGCAGCUCCGGCUAACAACAUGCCAGCAGCCGUGGUAAUACGUAGGGAGCCAGCGUUAUCCGGAUUUACUGGGUGUAAAGGGUGCGUGGGCGGGUUUGCAAGUCAGACGGGAAAGCCAUGGGGUUAACCCAGGAACGGCAGUUGAAACUGCAGAGCUUGAGUGGGAUAGAGGUAGGCGGAAUGCCCGGUGUAGCGGUGAAAUGCGUAGAGAUCGGGAGGAACACCAGUGGCGAAGGCGGCCUACUGGGCUCUAACUGACGCUGAGGCACGAAAGCGUGGGUAGCAAACAGGAUUAGAUACCCCUGUAGUC